CAAGCAGUGUCUAAUUGUUGAGGCGCGCGUGCGCGACCUCGGAGGUGCGCGCGUACGCGACCUCGGAGGUGCGCGCGUACGCGCGUGCGCGACCUCGGAGGUGCGCCCGCGUAGGGCAUCGGAGGCGGCAGCAGACAGCAGCAGCACGUAGGAAGUAGGCCCUGGAGGAUUCACGCCUGCACCUGUCACCGUAGCGACCAGAGCCGUCCGCGCUGAGUGGAGAAGAUGCCGCAGAAGAGGAGUCCAGCCAGACGCAGGACUGGGGAAGGACAUCCAACCUUCGGUGGACCGGGACACUGCAGCAAGGGAGGAGACUGACCAGCAAUGGGAGCACCGGCAGAAGACCCUGGCUGGCUUAAAGAAGACGGCACGGAACAGCGGGGAGGAUGGCGCAGAUCGGAAUCCUGCAGCAGGAGAGAAUAUUCCCCUUUGGAGCGCAGCAGACCACACUGAAAAGGGUGCAUCCCCGGUGCGGUGCGGUGCUCUGCAUCCCGGGUGGCGCCGAAGAUGUGGAGUGUCGGAGGUGGCAGAAGCGCCGCAGCUUGGGGAACUGAUCUGGCAGCAAGUCCAUCAUCCUCUGAGACCAAAAAGCAACUAACUUCCUGUGUGGUCAAUGUGUUAUCUAGUUUCUGGAGGAGGGAUUCACGAUGAGUCACCAGUUCCUUUGUAUAUGCUGAACAGGUUCAGCCUUGGGGAUGUCCAAAGGGCUGGCCUGAGUUUCCUGUCCACUACCUGUUUGGUCUAUGUAUUGUUCUAAUAAAAGUGAUUUUAGCUUUUA
This is a long non-coding RNA of Pseudophryne corroboree (corroboree frog), 778 nucleotides long. RefSeq lists it as uncharacterized. The transcript is spliced from 3 exons. The record is from RefSeq and is a predicted model, not a curated record. NCBI's taxonomy places the organism in Eukaryota, Metazoa, Chordata, Amphibia, Anura, Myobatrachidae.